RNAcentral lists this unclassified non-coding RNA (343 nucleotides) under Hevea brasiliensis (rubber tree). Lineage: Eukaryota; Viridiplantae; Streptophyta; Magnoliopsida; Malpighiales; Euphorbiaceae. The record is from RNAcentral.
AUCGAUUGCUAAGCUCAAUCACAAGUCACAACCAACAGACAAUUAUGUAAUCAUAAGCCUCCAAAAGAAUUGACAGCACCAACUGCAACUUUAAACCAGUAAGCAGCCAAUGAUGCCACUUAAGACUCACGAAACUAAAUGAAAAAACAUAAACCCACCAAAACUAAUUACAUACCAGACUUUCACUACCCUAUGCUAAACUAUUUUGCUUGCUUGAGCAAAUUAAACUGCUUCUUACGCUACCACAGCUAAUAAACAUGAAAAGCACAGCAACUAUUAGAUAGAACAGAACAGAAAUUUAUCCAAACAGGUAAAAAUACCUUGCAACUAGUUACCAAAUCCA